CGUCAGACGAACGCUGGCGGCGUGCUUAACACAUGCAAGUCGAACGAUGAAGCCCUUCGGGGUGGAUUAGUGGCGAACGGGUGAGUAACACGUGGGCAAUCUGCCCUUCACUCUGGGACAAGCCCUGGAAACGGGGUCUAAUACCGGAUAACACUCUGUCCCGCAUGGGACGGGGUUGAAAGCUCCGGCGGUGAAGGAUGAGCCCGCGGCCUAUCAGCUUGUUGGUGGGGUGAUGGCCUACCAAGGCGACGACGGGUAGCCGGCCUGAGAGGGCGACCGGCCACACUGGGACUGAGACACGGCCCAGACUCCUACGGGAGGCAGCAGUGGGGAAUAUUGCACAAUGGGCGAAAGCCUGAUGCAGCGACGCCGCGUGAGGGAUGACGGCCUUCGGGUUGUAAACCUCUUUCAGCAGGGAAGAAGCGAAAGUGACGGUACCUGCAGAAGAAGCGCCGGCUAACUACGUGCCAGCAGCCGCGGUAAUACGUAGGGCGCAAGCGUUGUCCGGAAUUAUUGGGCGUAAAGAGCUCGUAGGCGGCUUGUUGCGUCGGUUGUGAAAGCCCGGGGCUUAACCCCGGGUCUGCAGUCGAUACGGGCAGGCUAGAGUGUGGUAGGGGAGAUCGGAAUUCCUGGUGUAGCGGUGAAAUGCGCAGAUAUCAGGAGGAACACCGGUGGCGAAGGCGGAUCUCUGGGCCAUUACUGACGCUGAGGAGCGAAAGCGUGGGGAGCGAACAGGAUUAGAUACCCUGGUAGUCCACGCCGUAAACGUUGGGAACUAGGUGUUGGCGACAUUCCACGUCGUCGGUGCCGCAGCUAACGCAUUAAGUCCCCGCA
This 834-nucleotide ribosomal RNA is filed under the name Streptomyces sp. Its description in RNAcentral is "bacterial SSU rRNA". It matches the Rfam family "Bacterial small subunit ribosomal RNA", at positions 23 to 873 of the family's 1533-position model. Lineage: Bacteria; Bacillati; Actinomycetota; Actinomycetes; Kitasatosporales; Streptomycetaceae. The record is from RNAcentral.